UGGGAAUAUUGGACAAUGGGCGAAAGCCUGAUCCAGCCAUGCCGCGUGUGUGAAGAAGGUCUUCGGAUUGUAAAGCACUUUAAGUUGGGAGGAAGGGCAGUUACCUAAUACGUGAUUGUCUUGACGUUACCGACAGAAUAAGCACCGGCUAACUCUGUGCCAGCAGCCGCGGUAAUACAGAGGGUGCAAGCGUUAAAUCGGAAUUACUGGGCGUAAAGCGCGCGUAGGUGGUUUGUUAAGUUGGAUGUGAAAUCCCCGGGCUCAACCUGGGAACUGCAUUCAAAAACUGUCAAGCUAGAGUAUGGUAGAGGGUGGUGGAAUUUCCUGUGUAGCGGUGAAAAUGCGUAGAUAUAGGAAGGAACACCAGUGGCGAAGGCGACCACCUGGACUGAUACUGACACUGAGGUGCGGAAAGCGUGGGGAGCAAAACAGGAUUAGAUACCCUGGUAGUCCACGCCGUAAAAACGAUGUCAAACUAGCCGUUGGGAGCCUUGAGCUCUUAGUGGCGCAGCUAAACGCAUUAAAGUUGACCGCCUGGGGAGUACGGCCGCAAAGGUUAAAAACUCAAAAGGAAAUUGACGGGGUCAUAGCUGUUUCCUG
RNAcentral lists this ribosomal RNA (600 nucleotides) under uncultured bacterium. RNAcentral's name for it is "partial 16S ribosomal RNA". It matches the Rfam family "Bacterial small subunit ribosomal RNA", at positions 356 to 1376 of the family's 1533-position model. The record is from RNAcentral.